Molecule: long non-coding RNA, 211 nt
Filed under: Phoenix dactylifera (date palm)
Lineage: Eukaryota; Viridiplantae; Streptophyta; Magnoliopsida; Arecales; Arecaceae
Description: long non-coding RNA (PDAC_LNC018135)
Source: RNAcentral
GAGGGGUCGGAUAAGGGUUGUAGAGGUAGUUAAAAGGGGAAGAAUUGGAUUUCGACAAGUUUUUCCGGCACUGCGGAAAAACUGUGUCGAAGUCCCAACUUCGGUGAAUUAUUUCAGGGGUCAAUCGGCCUCCGAUGGUGAUGCAUGUUACCAUUCUGGAAACCCCUAUGAGUGUAGAACAUUGGGUAUAAUUUUAUAAAAAUUGGAGUUC